UGGGGAAUCUUGGACAAUGGGGGCAACCCUGAUCCAGCCAUGCCGCGUGAGUGAUGAAGGCCUUAGGGUCGUAAAGCUCUUUCGCCUGUGAAGAUAAUGACGGUAGCAGGUAAAGAAACCCCGGCUAACUCCGUGCCAGCAGCCGCGGUAAUACGGAGGGGGUUAGCGUUGUUCGGAAUUACUGGGCGUAAAGCGCACGUAGGCGGACCAGAAAGUUGGGGGUGAAAUCCCGGGGGCUCAACCCCGGAACUGCCUCCAAAACUAUUGGUCUAGAGUUCGAGAGAGGUGAGUGGAAUUCCAAGUGUAGAGGUGAAAUUCGUAGAUAUUUGGAGGAACACCAGUGGCGAAGGCGGCUCACUGGCUCGAUACUGACGCUGAGGCGCGAAAGCGUGGGGAGCAAACAGGAUUAGAUACCCUGGUAGUCCACGCCGUAAAACGAUGUCUGCUAGUCGUUGGGGGGCGUAGCCCUUCAGUGACGCCGCUAACGCAUUAAGCAGACCGCCU
This 504-nucleotide ribosomal RNA is filed under the name uncultured bacterium. Its description in RNAcentral is "bacterial SSU rRNA". It matches the Rfam family "Bacterial small subunit ribosomal RNA", at positions 355 to 874 of the family's 1533-position model. The record is from RNAcentral.